CGUUCCCGGACCUUGUACACACCGCCCGUCAAGCGAUGGAAGUUGGGAGGACCUGAAGACAGUAGCUGUAAGGCGCUGUUUAGGGUUAAACCGAUGACUGGCGCUAAGUCGUAACAACGGUACC
This 124-nucleotide ribosomal RNA is filed under the name uncultured bacterium. RNAcentral describes it as "partial 16S ribosomal RNA". It matches the Rfam family "Bacterial small subunit ribosomal RNA", at positions 1369 to 1500 of the family's 1533-position model. The record is from RNAcentral.